CUUCCAAAAUGACAAUCUGUAUAUGCUUUCGCAGGCUAUGAAGGAAAGAAUGGCAUGUGAAACUUUUGCCCUAAUAAGAGCAGCUUAAGCGAAAAUGAAAGGGAAAGAAGAUACAGGAAACAAACAGUGCCUUCUAGCUUCAAAUUCUAAGAUCAAACUUUAAGAGCAGAAGUCUCACCCUUAUCUCACAAUCUUGCUUUAGGCAUCUCCAGAUUAGUAUAAGUGUUGAAAAAGAACCUUCGUUCAUUUACCCAUUGCCUGUGCUUACUGACAAUACAGAUUCUCUGUUCAAGUAGAAGGACUUGGUUGAUUACGAGGCAGGAGAAAUGGAUAGAGCCAAGCAUGCCAGGAAUCUUGCAGCAAGUGGGAGGCUGGAUGAGCCCGUCAUCUGGAAAGUUUCCAUUUAGCGCAAAACAUAACAUUAUUACAGCAAAAUUCUCAAGAAUUUUUGUGACAGAAGGGAUGCUAUACAUUUCAAGGAAUAAAGUUAAGUGCAGAGCUUAAAUUAAGUGACUUGAUAUAUAUUAAAGCAAAAACUAUUUGGAUUAUCAAGGCAAAAGAAUGUAGAAAUCAGCUGUGGAAGAAGUUCACAAAAUAAAUUCUAUUCAAAGCCCAGGCAAGGCAUUGUGAAAGGCAACCUUCAUAAUGUUCUGACAAAUAGGGAAGUCUAUAUUGGUGCCUUACGUCACAUAGUGACAUUGCAAGAGAAGAAGGUCUGUUUUCAUGAGAAAUUAAGGAGGAGGACAGCGAAGAAAGGAGAAUUAUUUUGUUUAUUAGAGAACACAUCUGAAGAUUAGAAAUAAUCAUGCCUGUGUCUACUAUCACCAUAGCUGGAGUCAAUUAUGAGGGAGAAGCUUAAGAGGGCCUGUCAAGAAUGGAAACUAGGAAAAGCCCAGGAAAUGGGGGGAGAGAGCGCAUUGUCGCCUAGAAAAAGGUGUCCAAUGAAUCAUGAGUUUCACAAUAUUGAGAACGAGUUCCCAGAACAUAGAGCAAAAGGUCAAAGAGACAGAUGCAAGAAGACAUAUAAAUGUUACAGAGGAUUGGUCCAGGAGAUCCAAUUAUCUAUCUCACCAAGAAAAGUCCAGAAGAUAGAAGAAUGAAAAUAGAAAAAAGAAAAUAACCAAUUCUUGGCCAAAGGUUUUGAACCUAGAACUCUAUACCAAGUAUCAAUCAAGUGUAAGGUCUGAAUAAAGAUAUUU
RNAcentral lists this long non-coding RNA (1199 nucleotides) under Equus caballus (horse). Its description in RNAcentral is "lncRNA (ENSECAG00000055981.1)". The record is from RNAcentral. Lineage: Eukaryota; Metazoa; Chordata; Mammalia; Perissodactyla; Equidae.